AGAACGAACGCUGGCGGCAUGCCUAACACAUGCAAGUCGAACGUGAUCCAGACUUCGGUUUGGUGAAAGUGGCAAACGGGUGAGUAACGCGUGGGAACCUGCCCAGAGGUAGGGAAUAACUGCGGGAAACUGCAGCUAAUACCCUAUGUGCCCUAUGGGGCAAAGAUUUAUCGCCUUUGGAGGGGCCCGCGUCGGAUUAGGUAGUUGGUAGGGUAACGGCCUACCAAGCCUACGAUCCGUAGCUGGUCUGAGAGGAUGAUCAGCCACACUGGGACUGAGAUACGGCCCAGACUCCUACGGGAGGCAGCAGUGGGGAAUAUUGGACAAUGGGGGCAACCCUGAUCCAGCAAUGCCGCGUGAGUGAUGAAGGCCUUCGGGUUGUAAAGCUCUUUCGCUCGGGACGAUAAUGACGGUACCGAGAUAAGAACGCCCGGCUAACGUUCGCGCCAGCAGCCGC
RNAcentral lists this ribosomal RNA (457 nucleotides) under uncultured bacterium. RNAcentral describes it as "SSU rRNA". It matches the Rfam family "Bacterial small subunit ribosomal RNA", at positions 26 to 518 of the family's 1533-position model. The record is from RNAcentral.